GAACUGCGAUAAGUAAUGUGAAUUGCAGAAUUCAGUGAAUCAUCGAGUCUUUGAACGCACAUUGCGCCCCCUGGCAUUCCGGGGGGCAUGCCUGUCCGAGCGUCAUUGCUGCCCUCAAGCCCGGCUUGUGUGUUGGGUCGUCGUCCCCCCCGGGGGACGGGCCCGAAAGGCAGCGGCGGCACCGUGUCCGGUCCUCGAGCGUAUGGGGCUUUGUCACCCGCUCGAUUAGGGCCGGCCGGGCGCCAGCCGGCGUCUCCAACCUUAUUUUUCUCAGGUUGACCGCGGGUAAGGUAGGGAUACCCUCUGAACUUAAGC
RNAcentral lists this unclassified non-coding RNA (315 nucleotides) under plant metagenome. Its description in RNAcentral is "partial contains 5.8S ribosomal RNA, internal transcribed spacer 2, and large subunit ribosomal RNA". The stretch from base 1 to 105 matches the Rfam family "5.8S ribosomal RNA", at positions 50 to 154 of the family's 154-position model. The record is from RNAcentral.